Long non-coding RNA from Lycium barbarum (goji berry), 2909 nucleotides. RefSeq lists it as uncharacterized. The record is from RefSeq and is a predicted model, not a curated record. NCBI's taxonomy places the organism in Eukaryota, Viridiplantae, Streptophyta, Magnoliopsida, Solanales, Solanaceae. The transcript has 2 exons.
CCAACACCAACAAACUAAAGAUCCCAAUAGCUUGUUCCUCUAUCUCAUUUUCAAUAACAAACUAAACCUAACCAGCAGCUCUAGUGAACCAGAACCAAGUGACCCACUUAUCUCUUCAACGUAAACAUUGCAAUAUCCCACCAAAUUUGCCUGCUGCUCACCUCUCACAUCCGGUCACAAACUCUUCUCCUUUCUCACACUCCAUCUCUGAAGCAGCAGGCUCCAUGUGCGAUUUCAGUAGAUUUCAUGUCUUUUGGUUAUCAAAAUCUUCUUUCAAGUUCUCGGCUAAGCAAAAACUACUUCAAGCGGAUUCAAAGACUCGACGACGACAAUAGCCUCAGUUCGCUAUCCCCAAGAAGGUAAUCACACUCGUCUUCUCUUCGUCUUUAAUUUCUUAGAAGUAAAAUGUAGUCGUUGAGUUGUUUUUUCGUUUGUAUCAUCUCGACCUAUUUAAAUCUGUUUGUUGCUCCGUGUGCUCUGAAUAUGUGACGAAAUGGUUAAUACAAGCUAUUACACUUAAAAAGAAUGACAAUUUAGCUUGAAGAACAUGUGAACAGUGAUGUUGUCUUGCUCUAAAUUAGUUUUUCUUUAAUCUUGAGGGGCUGCUUCAUCCUCUUUCUUGUUGAAAUUAGUAUAUAAAGAUCGCUACGCAAGUUGCAACUUAUAAAAGAUCAAUUCACCAUUCCUUUAGAAGGAAACUAGUAUUUGAAUCAUUAUUUUGCGCGAAUUUUGAAGUUUUAUAACAACGGAUAGUAAAAGGAGUUAGGAAGUAAUGGGCUACUAAGAUCGUGUCAAAUCCUCUUCAUGUUAAGCAUGUAAUAUUUAAGUUCAUCCUAAGUUUUAAGUAAGUUUAUUUAAUCUGGAAGUUUUGUUCUCAUUGUUUAAGAAUUAAGGCUACAGGAUUUGGAAAGGUUUGAGUGAACUUAGCCAUCUCCAUAGAUACAUAAUCAGUUUGUUUUGGUUUUUGUGCAUCUUGUAUCUUGGCAUACUGUUUGCAAACUUAAGCUUUAAGACUUAACAUGAAGUCUAAACUGACUCUUCUUGUAUUCACAUUUGCUUUCCUCUCUGCUGGGAGAAUGUUGUAGUAUUUGUUCGAUGGUAAUCUGUUAAAAAGGAAAGGAGACGUGAUUCAGUUCAAAAUUUUGUGCGUAUAUGUCAUCUCUUUCUUUUACCAUGUCCUUGAGACCUUCCUAACUUAAGAUGACUCUUGUUUGUCGAUUUUUUGAAGUUUUCCAUAGUUAAUUAAAUACGCUUUAUACGUUAGAAAGCUACAUUUGUUCCGGAAAAGAAAGUUACUGUUUUUUUAUAUAAAAAAAGCUACUGUUUUUAACUAAAAAGCUACUGUUUUCUGGUUAAAAAGUUACUAUUUUGGUUGGAGAAAAAAGAGUUACUGUUUUGAUUAGGGAAAAGUUACUUGUCUUGAUUAAAGGAAAAUUUACCGAUUCGUGAAAAUUAAAUUCAUCAAAUAUGUGUUUAACUUAGUCGCUUAGCUAAUUUUCUGUUUUAGUUAUUUGUUAAAAUCUGGGAUGUUCCUACAUUUAGCGUAAAUCACUAUGACUGAUAGAAGCUAUGAAUUUAAGAAAAAGAGGAAAUCCACCGACUUGUGAGAAUAUGAUAUGAGCUUAUAUGUACAUUUAGUAUUUGUUUGUUUUCUCGUAUGUGUGAAUAAAUGUCUAACGAGUUCUGCUUCAUUUCUCCAAGUAUUUUUUAUGUAUCAUGUUAAAAUGACGAGGGAAGAAGUGUUGUAUAUUCCUAUCUUUUCUAUUUUUAGUUGAGAUCCUUGAAUUAGUUUAGUAAUGUAUUUGCAGAAUCUAAAAACCUGUUUUUUAGUUUAAAUAUGCAUGUGAACCUUUCCUUUUGGGUUAUCAAAUUGAUUAAAACUGAGUAUAGCUAAUAAAGGUCCAGUUUGUUUGGUAAAAGGGGAUAAAAAGAAUAAUAAAGAAGCUGUGGUUUAUUCUUUUGGUGUGAAAAUAUACCAAUAAGGUUCUCUGCCCAACUUGUUUUUGUUUUGGCAAAUACGUACUUAUAAUUUUUGGGUUUUAGAACUUGGAGCCACAAAUGCUUUAAGAACUUGAAAGGAUCUCUUUUCCUUCUCUGACGGUGUUGUUUCUUUUUGUACUGGUUUGCUAAUGGGAUGAUAAGUGUGUUGGCUUUUCUGAUCACUCAUAUAGCAUCAUGGAAGUAUUAGAGAUUUGGGAAGCCGAACAUAAUUUAUUUUGAACCUAUUUUGAAGUGCCAUAGCCUAGCAUAACAAUUAACUCUCAUUUAUUCACUGAAGUGUUUGGUUUGGUAAGAAUUGUUUGAACUCAUUUGGUUGCCUAUAAUGGUUCUGUAAGUAAGAGACGUACUACACAUAAAGGUGUGAAAAUUGUUGAGCUUUUAAAUACUGUAGAGCUUAGGUUCGUCGCGUAAUGCGCAUAAGUUAGAUCAUGGCGUGUUUGCUUUAUUUUGAGACAUUUACUUAAGUCGGGUUGAUCUCUUUCCAAAGUUGGCUGAAUAUUUGGUGCUAAAUCUAGUAAAAUAUUUGUUCUUGAUGGCAUGUUUUACUCAUUAGAUUUCGGCGUUAUUAAGAUCAAUUAAGGGCAUCACUAAUCCUUAUCUUUAUCCUUUUUUCUAUGAGGAACCUUGGGAGCAUUAGGAGUUAUGGCAAUUCCGGAUUCUACCCAUAUCAGAGAGCAGCCAGCAGCAGAUUUAUUUGCUCGUGUCUAGCCGUCCCCUACUUUCGCGUCUCAAGUCUCCGUUCUUCCUUUAUUCAAAAUUUUAAGCCUUCAUAUUGGUUCAUAUAUACUGUUUAUAAUAUUUGACUAACAUUCUUGUGAAUUUGUAUUUUUGUAGUUUUGUUGUGAACUCGUAACUUGACUUAAGUAUGUUAGAUGCAAGAAAAUCGGGAUUUAAAAAAAAAAACGAAA